Molecule: small nuclear RNA, 135 nt
Filed under: Capra hircus (goat)
Lineage: Eukaryota; Metazoa; Chordata; Mammalia; Artiodactyla; Bovidae
Description: U2 spliceosomal RNA (ENSCHIG00010003706.1)
Rfam family: U2 spliceosomal RNA (bases 1-99)
About the family: U2 is a small nuclear RNA (snRNA) component of the spliceosome (involved in pre-mRNA splicing). Complementary binding between U2 snRNA (in an area lying towards the 5' end but 3' to hairpin I) and the branchpoint sequence (BPS) of the intron results the bulging out of an unpaired adenosine, on the BPS, which initiates a nucleophilic attack at the intronic 5' splice site, thus starting the first of two transesterification reactions that mediate splicing.
Source: RNAcentral
AUCGCAUCUCGGCCUUUUGGCUAAGAUCAAGUGUAGUAUUUUGUUUUAAAUUUCUCUCUCCAGGAGGGAAGUCUUGACUGCAGCUGGGAUAUAUUUUUUAUGUGCAGCAUGAAGUAGAAAUUUGUUGUAUCUAUC